Gasterosteus aculeatus aculeatus (three-spined stickleback) is the source of this 508-nucleotide long non-coding RNA. The record is from Ensembl. NCBI's taxonomy places the organism in Eukaryota, Metazoa, Chordata, Actinopteri, Perciformes, Gasterosteidae.
UGGGAAACGUGCAGAUCCACAGGAUGUGGUUUGCAAAAUAAACCUCCUCUGUUCCUUCAAAAGUCUUAAACGCUUUGGAAUAUUCACCUCGUCAGACGGACUCACGCCUCUACAGACCAGCCCGUCCAACGUCCUCGUGUCUCAGUCCUCCUCUGAACGUCCUCGUGUCUCAGUCCUCCUCUGAAUGUCCUCGUGUCUCAGUCCUCCUCUGAAUGUCCUCGUGUAUCAGUCCUCCUUUGAAUGUCCUCGUGUCUCAGUCCUCCUUUGAAUGUCCUCGUGUCUCAGUCCUCCUCUGAAUGUCCUCGUGUCUCAGUCCUCCUCUGAAUGUCCUCGUGUAUCAGUCCUCCUUUAAAUGUCCUUGUGUCUCAGUCCUCCUCUGAAUGUCCUCGUGUCUCAGUCCUCCUCUGAAUGUCCUCGUGUCUCAGUCCUCCUUUGAAUGUCCUCUUAGCAACGUUCUUCUCCCAUGAAGACAUGCAGCGGAAUGUUUGUGUCCACUGGAGGUCAAAGG